GGAAGGGUGGGGAGUGACGUCAAGUCAUCAUGGCCCUUACGGCCUGGGCUACACACGUGCUACAAUGGUCGGUACAAAGGGUUGCCAAGCCGCGAGGUGGAGCUAAUCCCAUAAAACCGAUCGUAGUCCGGAUCGCAGUCUGCAACUCGACUGCGUGAAGUCGGAAUCGCUAGUAAUCGUGAAAUCAGAAUGUCACGGUGAAUACGUUCCCGGGCCUU
RNAcentral lists this ribosomal RNA (218 nucleotides) under uncultured Pseudomonas sp. Its description in RNAcentral is "partial 16S ribosomal RNA". It matches the Rfam family "Bacterial small subunit ribosomal RNA", at positions 1167 to 1382 of the family's 1533-position model. The record is from RNAcentral. Lineage: Bacteria; Pseudomonadati; Pseudomonadota; Gammaproteobacteria; Pseudomonadales; Pseudomonadaceae.